AGCGAACGCUGGCGGCAGGCCUAAUACAUGCAAGUCGAGCGCACCUUCGGGUGAGCGGCGGACGGGUGAGUAACGCGUGGGAACGUGCCCUUUGGUUCGGAACAACACAGGGAAACUUGUGCUAAUACCGAAUGUGCCCUUCGGGGGAAAGAUUUAUCGCCAUUGGAGCGGCCCGCGUUGGAUUAGGUAGUUGGUGGGGUAAAGGCCCACCAAGCCGACGAUCCAUAGCUGGUCUGAGAGGAUGAUCAGCCACACUGGGACUGAGACACGGCCCAGACUCCUACGGGAGGCAGCAGUAGGGAAUCUUGCGCAAUGGGCGAAAGCCUGACGCAGCCAUGCCGCGUGAAUGAUGAAGGUCUUAGGAUUGUAAAAUUCUUUCACCGGGGAAGAUAAUGACGGUACCCGGAGAAGAAGCCCCGGCUAACUUCGUGCCAGCAGCCGCGGUAAUACGAAGGGGGCUAGCGUUGCUCGGAAUUACUGGGCGUAAAGGGCGCGUAGGCGGAUAGUUUAGUCAGAGGUGAAAGCCCAGGGCUCAACCUUGGAACUGCCUUUGAUACUGGCUAUCUUGAGUUCGGGAGAGGUGAGUGGAAUGCCGAGUGUAGAGGUGAAAUUCGUAGAUAUUCGGCGGAACACCAGUGGCGAAGGCGACUCACUGGCCCGAUACUGACGCUGAGGCGCGAAAGCGUGGGGAG
Molecule: ribosomal RNA, 692 nt
Filed under: uncultured Alphaproteobacteria bacterium
Lineage: Bacteria; Pseudomonadati; Pseudomonadota; Alphaproteobacteria
Description: bacterial SSU rRNA
Rfam family: Bacterial small subunit ribosomal RNA
Source: RNAcentral